AAAAAAAUGGGACUAGGACUAAAUGUCAAGAAGAUUAAACUAAGGACAAUGGGUACAGCAACCAGCCUCAGAAUUGACAAUGAAGACAUUGAAGUGGUGGAUAGCUUCUGCCUUUUAGGAUUGAUCACCAACAGUCAAUGAUCCAGCAGUCAAGAAAUACACUUCAGACUAGCACUUGGUAGGGAUGCAAUGAAGGAGGCCUUGGAAAGGAUAUUUAGAUGCUGCUACGUGUCUAUACCUACAAAGAUUAGAAUCGUUCAGACAAUGGUUUUUCCCAUUACACUUUAUGGAUGCGAAAGCUGGACUUUGAAGAAGCAGGAUAGAACAAAUAUUGAUGGUUUUGAACUCUGCUGCUGGAGAAGACUUUUGAGAAAACAAACAAAUGGAUCAUAGUACAAAUCAAUCCAGAAUUUUCACUCAAGGCACAAAUGACCAGGCUCAAACUAUCAUACUUUGGGCACAUUAUGCAAAGAUCCAGCUCCCUUAAGAAGUCCAUAAUUCUGGAGAAAGUUGAAGGAAAGGAAAGACGAGGGCGAGCAGCAGCAAGGUGGAUGGACUCGAUUACGACAGCAAUGAAUGCACCACUGAGAGACCUUAAAGGCCAAGUUGAAGACAGAUCAUCCUGGAGAGAAUCUAUCCAUGUGGUCGUUAAGAGUUGCCACCGACUUGACAGCACUUAAUCAAUCAAUCUAAAAUAGAGCUUCACAACUUUGAACCUCCAGCUUUUGUUGUACUACAAGACCUUUCAUCAGUAUUUACCGCUGUGGCUAAGGAUGAUGGGAUCUGUAGUCCAACAGCUGGAGAGCCAAAGCUCUCCAAUCUAAAAGGAAAAACCUUUAACAUGCCUGGGUAUUCAAACUCUAGAAAAAUAAUUUAAAAAUAAAAAUGUUUGUGGACCAAUAGGUUUUGGUGUUCUCUAGUUAUUAACAUCAUUAAUACAUACUGAAAUGUGCUUUAUCCCUCUUUCUUUUCCAAGAGCAAUCUAAAUGUGAAUCCAAAAAAAGAACCAGUUUAGAAUAUGUAAAUCUAACUCAGAGUCUUAUUGGCAUUCAGAAAGAGGUUUUUUCCCCUCCUGCAAUACAAUAAACUGCUUCAUUUUCUCUUGUUUACGUGUUAAAAGACCAGACAUUUAAUUUAGUUGGAAAAUAAAAAGAGCAAUAUCUAAUUUAAUUUCUGCCAGUCACAUUUUAAAACCAGAAAGCUACAGUAUUUGUUUCCGAUUCUCCUAUACUUGGGUUGAUGUGUUUUUUCUUUGCAAUUCAUGCAAAUUGCAUAACAAACAAGGAUUGAUAGUCCUCUUAACGAAUUUGUCCAUGUACAGUUAAAUAAUUUACAAUGGGAAUUAUUAAUGGUGUUUUCAACAUUUAGUACAUGGCUUCUUAAUAAGGGGUGCUUUCAGAUGACAACAAAAAAGCAAAUUUCAGGUUUGUAUGUAUGUAUUUUUAUUUGCCUUCUGUAGAAGGAACAGCUAUGUCACAGAACAUUCAUCCACCCCUCCUCCUCAGCCAGAGUCUAUACAGUCUCAUUGCUGUGGUGGCUUGAGAAUUACAACCAGCCAGAACUCUCCCUAUAAAGAGUGCCAGCCAUUGCCAUUGCUGCUACUGCUUGGGUGAGGGUGCAUUAGUCUGGAAAACAAACUAUAAACUUAGUACAACAAGCUCGCAUUAGUGCAGUAUACUGGUACAAGUGCAGCAUUAGUCAAGGUGUUGGCCUUCAUAUUUUACUUUUUGAAAACAAAAUAAACAAUGGAACCUGCUGCGGUUUCCAGACAAGGAGGUGAAACUGACAAACCUUCAUCAGUUUACAAUUUAAAAAAAUAAUCUGGAAAUUGUGGCAGCAUUAUCGUUUCAGGUUCAUGAGCUCCGUGUCGUUGGAAUGGUAUUUAGAACUGGUGAAGGUCCCCCUAUCAGUUAGAUAUCCAAUGAUAAACAUGCCAUGGAAGUGAGCAUGUGGGAUGCCUUUCCUGGGAAAGAAGGGCCGAUCAUGUGCCAGAGGAUCCACAAAACCUGGAGCCAGUCCUAGUAUGCUGGUGGCAUAAGACAGCAAAUGGAGUUUGAGCGCUGAAGGACCAUGUUGUGCCAUCUAUUUUCAGGCUACAUUCUCUACCUAUUCUACCAUAAUCUAGCAGGAUGUGAUGCAUCCAUACAUGGUAUAUCUUAUUUCAUUCGGGGUUUGGAAAUGAAUUAAACAUUACGAUUCAUUGAA
Molecule: long non-coding RNA, 2205 nt
Organism: Hemicordylus capensis (graceful crag lizard)
Lineage: Eukaryota; Metazoa; Chordata; Lepidosauria; Squamata; Cordylidae
Exons: 2
Source: RefSeq, a predicted model, not a curated record